CGCGAUUCGUCAGGAGAGAGUGCCCCGCCACACCCGGUGAGCGGCACCGCCGAAGGCGCAGGCACCCGCCGAACGCUCAGGCAAAAGGACUGGCCAAG
This 98-nucleotide non-coding RNA is filed under the name Comamonadaceae bacterium. Its description in RNAcentral is "Glycine sequence". It matches the Rfam family "Glycine riboswitch aptamer". From Rfam's summary of the family: This family represents the bacterial glycine riboswitch. Glycine riboswitches usually consist of two metabolite-binding aptamers domains with similar structures in tandem. Lineage: Bacteria; Pseudomonadati; Pseudomonadota; Betaproteobacteria; Burkholderiales; Comamonadaceae. The record is from RNAcentral.